RNAcentral lists this ribosomal RNA (1446 nucleotides) under uncultured organism. Its description in RNAcentral is "16S ribosomal RNA". It matches the Rfam family "Bacterial small subunit ribosomal RNA". The record is from RNAcentral.
GAACGCUAGCUACAGGCUUAACACAUGCAAGUCGAGGGGCAGCAUGGUCUUAGCUUGCUAAGGCCGAUGGCGACCGGCGCACGGGUGAGUAACACGUAUCCAACCUGCCGUCUACUCUUGGACAGCCUUCUGAAAGGAAGAUUAAUACAAGAUGGCAUCAUGAGUCCGCAUGUUCACAUGAUUAAAGGUAUUCCGGUAGACGAUGGGGAUGCGUUCCAUUAGAUAGUAGGCGGGGUAACGGCCCACCUAGUCUUCGAUGGAUAGGGGUUCUGAGAGGAAGGUCCCCCACAUUGGAACUGAGACACGGUCCAAACUCCUACGGGAGGCAGCAGUGAGGAACAUUGGUCAAUGGGCGAGAGCCUGAACCAGCCAAGUGGCGUGAAGGAUGACUGCCCUAUGGGUUGUAAACUUCUUUUAUAAAGGAAUAAAGUCGGGUAUGGAUACCCGUUUGCAUGUACUUUAUGAAUAAGGAUCGGCUAACUCCGUGCCAGCAGCCGCGGUAAUACGGAGGAUCCGAGCGUUAUCCGGAUUUAUUGGGUUUAAAGGGAGCGUAGAUGGAUGUUUAAGUCAGUUGUGAAAGUUUGCGGCUCAACCGUAAAAUUGCAGUUGAUACUGGAUAUCUUGAGUGCAGUUGAGGCAGGCGGAAUUCGUGGUGUAGCGGUGAAAUGCUUAGAUAUCACGAAGAACUCCGAUUGCGAAGGCAGCCUGCUAAGCUGCAACUGACAUUGAGGCUCGAAAGUGUGGGUAUCAAACAGGAUUAGAUACCCUGGUAGUCCACACGGUAAACGAUGAAUACUCGCUGUUUGCGAUAUACUGCAAGCGGCCAAGCGAAAGCGUUAAGUAUUCCACCUGGGGAGUACGCCGGCAACGGUGAAACUCAAAGGAAUUGACGGGGGCCCGCACAAGCGGAGGAACAUGUGGUUUAAUUCGAUGAUACGCGAGGAACCUUACCCGGGCUUAAAUUGCAGAUGAAUUACGGUGAAAGCCGUAAGCCGCAAGGCAUCUGUGAAGGUGCUGCAUGGUUGUCGUCAGCUCGUGCCGUGAGGUGUCGGCUUAAGUGCCAUAACGAGCGCAACCCUUGUUGUCAGUUACUAACAGGUUCCGCUGAGGACUCUGACAAGACUGCCAUCGUAAGAUGUGAGGAAGGUGGGGAUGACGUCAAAUCAGCACGGCCCUUACGUCCGGGGCUACACACGUGUUACAAUGGGGGGUACAGAGGGCCGCUACCACGCGAGUGGAUGCCAAUCCCCAAAACCUCUCUCAGUUCGGACUGGAGUCUGCAACCCGACUCCACGAAGCUGGAUUCGCUAGUAAUCGCGCAUCAGCCACGGCGCGGUGAAUACGUUCCCGGGCCUUGUACACACCGCCCGUCAAGCCAUGGGAGCCGGGGGUACCUGAAGUGCGUAACCGCGAGGAGCGCCCUAGGGUAAAACUGGUGACUGGGGC